RNAcentral lists this ribosomal RNA (331 nucleotides) under uncultured eukaryote. RNAcentral describes it as "partial 18S ribosomal RNA". It matches the Rfam family "Eukaryotic small subunit ribosomal RNA", at positions 1470 to 1796 of the family's 1831-position model. The record is from RNAcentral.
CCCUUAGAUGUUCUGAGCCGCACGCGCGCUACACUGACGAAGUCAGCGAGCAUGUCCUACGCCGACAGGUGCGGGGAAUCUUGUCAAACUUCGUCGUGAUGGGGAUUGAUUAUUGAAAUUCUUGAUCAUCAACGAGGAAUUCCUAGUAAGCGCAAGUCAGCAGCUUGCGUUGAUUACGUCCCUGCCCUUUGUACACACCGCCCGUCGCUACUACCGAUUGAAUGGUUUAGUGAGAUCUUCGGAUUGGCGCCACUGCGGCUCAGCAAUGGGCUCGGUGGAUGCCGAAAAGUUGAUCAAACUUGAUCAUUUAGAGGAAGUAAAAGUCGUAACA